AACUUUUGGCAAUGUAUCUCUUUGCUCUCGCAUCGAUGAAGAACGCAGCGAAAUGCGAUAAGUAAUGUGAAUUGCAGAAUUCAGUGAAUCAUCGACUCUUUGAACGCACCUUGCGCCCCGUGGUAUUCCGCGGGGCCUGCCUGUUUGAGUGUCACGUGAAACCCUCACUCUUGUCAUUGCCGAAAGGCGUGACAGGCAGUGGACUUGGACUGUGCCGUAGUCGGCUCGUCUUGAAAUGCAUUAGCUGUGCUGCGCGAUUUCGGCCGCCUGGUGUGAUAACUAUCUACGCCAAACUGUGUCGUCGUCUGUGUCGGUGUGGCUCAUAAUCGUCGACUUUGCUCGACACCUCACUUUAACGCUCUGGCCUCAAAUCAGGUAGGACUACCCGCUGAACUUAAGCAUAUCAAUAAGCGGAGGAU
This 419-nucleotide unclassified non-coding RNA is filed under the name uncultured Tremellales. RNAcentral describes it as "sequence contains ITS2". The stretch from base 1 to 154 matches the Rfam family "5.8S ribosomal RNA". The record is from RNAcentral. Lineage: Eukaryota; Fungi; Basidiomycota; Tremellomycetes; Tremellales.